GCCAAGGUACAAAGGGCAUACGGUGGAUGCCUUGGCGCCAGGAGCCGAUGAAGGACGUUGCAGGCUGCGAUAAGCCUCGGGGAGCCGCCAAGCAGGCUUUGAUCCGGGGGUGUCCGAAUGGGGAAACCCGGCUGGCGUAAUGGCCAGUCACUCCUCGCUGAACACAUAGGCGAGGUUGAGGGAACCGGGGGAAGUGAAACAUCUCAGUACCCCGAGGAAGAGAAAGCAACCGCGAUUCCCUUAGUAGCGGUGAGCGAAACGGGAACAGCCCAAACCUGCGUGACGUGAUAGCCCAGCGGCGUUGUCACGUGGGUGUUGUGGGACCAUUCAGGGAGCGCGCUGGUGCUCCCAGGGAGUCACAAAGUCAGCGCCUAGCCGAACGGCAUGGAAAGGCCGGCCAUAGGAGGUAACAGCCCCGUAGGCGAAAGGUAACUGACCUCCCGAGUGGGAUCCCAAGUAGCGCCGAGCACGUGGAAUUCGGCGUGAAUCUGGGGGGACCACCCCCUAAGGCUAAAAACUACCUGGCGACCGAUAGUGAACCAGUACCGUGAGGGAAAGGUGAAAAGCACCCCGGGAGGGGAGUGAAAUAGCACCUGAAACCGUGUGCCUACAAACCGUCGGAGCAAACCGUGCUGGGCAACCAGUGCGGUAAGUGACGGCGUGCCUUUUGAAGAAUGAGCCGGCGAGUUGCGCUACGUGGCGAGGUUAAGGGGUUGUCCCGGAGCCGUAGGGAAACCGAGUCUGAAUAGGGCGAACAGUCGCGUGGUGCAGACCCGAAGCUGAGUGAUCUAUCCAUGGCCAGGUUGAAGCGCGGGUAAGACCGCGUGGAGGACCGAACCGACUCAUGUUGAAAAAUGGGCGGAUGAGCUGUGGAUAGGGGUGAAAGGCCAAUCAAACUCAGUGAUAGCUGGUUCUCCCCGAAAUGCAUUUAGGUGCAGCGUCGUGUGUUUCGUGUCGGGGGUAGAGCACUGUUUGGGCUAGGGGGCCUACAAGCUUACUGAACUCAGGCAAACUCCGAAUACCGACACGUUAAGCACGGCAGUGAGACUGCGAGCGAUAAGGUCCGUAGUCGAGAGGGAAACAGCCCAGAUCGCCAGCUAAGGUCCCUAAGAACGUGCUAAGUGGGAAACGAUGUCCAACCGUGUAGACAGCCAGGAGGUUGGCUUAGAAGCAGCCACCCUUGAAAGAGUGCGUAACAGCUCACUGGUCGAAUAGUUGGGCGCGGAAAAUGUAACGGGGCUCAAGCACGUCACCGAAGCUGCGGGAUCUCUUCACAAGCCGGCCUGUGUUGGGUGCAACACAGGUCCAAGCGAAGGGAUCGGUAGGGGAGCAUCGUCACGCGGGUGAAGCGGCGGAGUAAUCCAGCCGUGGAUGCGUGACAAGAGCGAAUGCCGGCAUGAGUAGCGAAAGAGGGGGGAGGAACCCCUCCGCCGAAUGCCCAAGGGUUCCUGGGGAAGGUUCAUCCGCCCAGGGUUAGUCGGGACCUAAGACGAGGUCGAAAGACGUAGCCGAUGGACAACAGGUUGAUAUUCCUGUACCACCGUUUCCGCGCCAAAGCCGAACCUGCGUUGCUAAGGAAAUCCCUUCGGGGACUACCGAACCACGUAGUACUAGGCCACCGAUGGGGAGACGCAGGAAGGUAAGUGGGCCCGGGCGAUGGUCGACCCGGGGUAAGCGCGUAGGGAGUCGCCGUAGGAAAAUCCGCGGCGGCAUCAUCCUGAGGCGUGACGCCGACAUCAAUGGAUGGAAGCCACUGAUCCUAUGCUGCCGAGAAAAUCCUCUAGGGAGUGGAAAAGGUGCCCGUACCCCAAACCAACUCAGGUGGGCAAGUAGAGAAUACUAAGGCGAUCGAGAGAACUCUGGUCAAGGAACUCGGCAAUCUGACCCCGUAACUUCGGAAGAAGGGGUGCCGUGAUCGGUGAAGGGCUUCUCGCCCCGAGCUGACCGCGGUCGCAGUGACCAGUCCCAAGCGACUGUUUACUAAAAACACAGGUGGGUGCGAAGCCGUAAGGCGCUGUAUACCCACUGACACCUGCCCGGUGCUGGAACGUUAAGGGGAGAGGUUAGCCCGCAAGGGCGAAGCUUUGAACCGAAGCGCCAGUAAACGGCGGCCGUAACUAUAACGGUCCUAAGGUAGGAAGCCCUUUGCAGGAAGGGGCGCUGCCCCCCGCAUUAGCGAUAGUGCGGUGCGCAGCCGGCUAUAUGCUGGAAAACCCGAGUAUCCCGAGCUACUCGUCCACUCACUUGGUGGACAGUGACAAUGCGAGGGUGCGGAAAACCAGCAGGAAACCCGAGAUGCCAAUCUCGGCGGAUCCUCAGAGACCAUACGCCGGCCCUCUCAACGAGAGGAAGAGAUGGUCCGAGCCCUGUGGCGACGCAGGGGGUUCAUCAGAACGCCACUGAUCAACCCGUUCGAUCGAGCAAACGAGAAGAUCGAGCGAAACCGCAAAAGCGAAAUUCCUUGUCGGGUAAGUUCCGACCUGCACGAAUGGUGUAACGACUUGGGCGCUGUCUCGACCAGAGACUCGGCGAAAUUGCAUUGGCUGUGAAGAUGCGGCCUACCCACGGUAGGACGGAAAGACCCCGGGACCUUUACUGUAGUUUGGCGUUGGUGUUCGGUUCUGGUUGCGUAGGAUAGGUGGGAGGCUUUGAAGCGGGGGUUUCGGCCCUCGUGGAGCCAACCUUGAAAUACCACCCUUCUAGUGCUGGGCGUCUAACAAGGGUCCGUUAUCCGGAUCUUGGACAGCGCCAGGCAGGCAGUUUAACUGGGGCGGUUGCCUCCCAAAGAGUAACGGAGGUGCCCAAAGGUUCCCUCAGCACGGUUGGCAAUCGUGCGUCGAGUGUAAGAGCACAAGGGAGCUUCACUGCGAGACGGACACGUCGAGCAGAUGCGAAAGCAGGGUCUAGUGAUCCGGCGGUGGCAAGUGGAAGCGCCGUCGCUCAACGGCUAAAAGGUACCCCGGGGAUAACAGGCUGAUCAGGCCCAAGAGUCCACAUCGACGGCCUGGUUUGGCACCUCGAUGUCGGCUCGUCGCAUCCUGGGGGUGGAGCAGCUCCCAAGGGUCCGGCUGUUCGCCGGUUAAAGCGGUACGCGAGCUGGGUUUAGAACGUAGAUCACUGCGUCUCCAAGGAGCAAUCCUUGGAUGCCCAUCGGCUCAUAUCGGUGGAACCUCACUGUCAUAACCGAACGUUACGGUGAGGCAAUACCGAGGGAAGGCCGACACAUUGAAGGCGGAACAAGCAAGCUAUCUCGCAGGAUUCCUCGACGGAGACGGAAGCAUUCACUUCCAACUCGUCAGACAACGAGAGUACAAGUUCGGGUUCUACAUCCGAGCAAGCAUGUCUCUGUCGCAAAGCACAUCGGCACGAUCGGGGUUGGAGAGCAUCCAACACAUCAUCGGGGCCGGGUACAUACGCGACAGAGGCACCGGCAUGAGCGAUCUCGUGAUCACCAGCCGGCCGGUACUCCAGCAGAUCCUCAGCGAGGUCGAACCGUUCGUUAUCUGCAAGCGCGAGCAUGUGCGGCGCGCGCGAAGGCUGCUCGAACGGAUCAGACCAAGGAUGAGAGAGGAAGAAUUCCUGGAGAUAGCGCACGAAGUCGACGCCUUCGCAACCCUAAACUAUUCGAAAUCGAAGCGGAUCUUCGCCGCAGAUGUCGAGCAGCAUCUGCGUAGCAUGGGUGUGUCGGUCCCCGUAACGACUUCUUCGGAUCGCUUAUCCGAAGAGAUGGAGCAACUGUCGCUCGUCGACAAAUCAGAGCUCCAUAACACGCCGGCCCCUCGAAAGAGGGUGAAGGUAUAGUCUGUGCCCGCAGCGAUGCGGGAUGAACAUGCGUGAGACAGUUCGGUCCCUAUCCACCGUGGGCGCAGGAGGCUUGAGGAAGGCUGUCCCUAGUACGAGAGGACCGGGACGGACGCACCGCUCGUGUGCCAGUUGUUCUGCCAAGAGCACGGCUGGUUGGCGAUGUGCGGAAGAGAUAACCGCUGAAAGCAUCUAAGCGGGAAGCUCGUUCCAAGAUGAGGCCUCCCACGGAGUUAAUCCGGUAAGGCCCCCGCAAGGCUAGCGGGUUGAUAGGCCGGAGGUGGAAGCGUGGCAACACGUGGAGCCGACCGGUACUAAUAGGCCGAGGCCUUGGUUCGCU
RNAcentral lists this ribosomal RNA (4141 nucleotides) under Actinomycetes bacterium. Its description in RNAcentral is "Actinobacteria bacterium 23S ribosomal RNA". The stretch from base 2 to 3147 matches the Rfam family "Bacterial large subunit ribosomal RNA". Lineage: Bacteria; Bacillati; Actinomycetota; Actinomycetes. The record is from RNAcentral.